CAGCCCGCCCCCCCGCUCACGGCCUCCGCCCGCCGCCCUGAGCGCCUGAGGGGGCCGCGGGCGGCCCGGCCCUGCGCGGAGAGGAGCCGGGCAUGCGGGCGGCGGGAGCGGGCCGGGAGGAGGAGGUGGGAUGCUGUCGCGGAAGAAGACGCGGACGGAGCUCUCGAAGCCGGGCGAGGUGCAGGGGAAAUACGUGAAGAAGGAGACCAGCCCGCUGCUCCGCAAUCUGAUGCCUUCCUUCAUCCGUCACGGUCCGACCAUUCCAAGACGAACUGAUGUCUGUCCUCCCGAGCCGAGCCCUUCUGCGUACGGCUCCGGUGGAGAUGGAGCUGUUUCCAGAAACCAGAGUUUCCUUCGAGCGCCGGUGCAGAGGCCGCCGCAUGAAAUAACGAGGCGCGAAAGCAACAGACUGUCUGCACCUUCCUACUUCGCUCGGAGUUUAGCCGACGUUGCUAGAGAAUAUGGCUCUUCCUCCCAGUCCUUUUUGACAGAACCUAAUUCCGUUAUGGAAAACGGAGAUGGCGGCGCGCGCUGUUACUAUUACGAUCACUUCUACGAUGCCCAGAGGAGACGUCAGUUAAAUGAUCGCUUGCACGAGGACUACAGGUAUUACGAGCACAGCGGUGAUCUUUUCCAGAGGAUGUCCCACAACCACGGGCGGCGCACCUCAGGCAUCGGGAGAGUUGCUGCUACGUCUCUAGGAAAUCUAACAAAUCAUAGCUCUGAAGACUUACCUCUGCCCCCCGGCUGGUCGGUGGACUGGACUAUUAGAGGAAGGAAGUACUACAUCGACCACAACACCAACACAACGCAUUGGAGCCAUCCCCUGGAGCGGGAGGGGCUGCCACCAGGCUGGGAGAGGGUUGAGUCAGCAGAAUUUGGAGUGUAUUAUGUGGAUCACAUCAAUAAAAGAGCUCAAUACAAACAUCCUUGCGCUCCCAGCGUUCCCCGUUACGACCAGCCUCCCCCGGUGACUUACCAGCCCCAGCAGGCGGAGAGAAGCCAGCCCCUCCUCGUCCCUGCAAACCCCUACCACACCGCAGAGAUUCCAGACUGGCUGCAGGUCUACGCCAGGGCUCCCGUCAAGCAGAAAGCGUAGCACUGAUGAUCUCAGUCUGGUCUGUUUUGGAAGAGAAUCCUUCCUCCAGAAGCUGCUGUUCAGCCCCUCCUGACAACCAGGCCCCUCGAGCAGCUCUCAUUAAACUCAAGUCCAGCUUGAAAAUCCUGACCAUGAACUCCUGUAAUCCUCUUAAUGGUUUUGAAACUGAACUCUUGACGAGCUGAUCAUUUUGAUUACAACACGUGCCAUGAUGGGAAAUGAGAGAUUUCACAUACUUUGUUCUCAUCCGAGCUGUUUAAAUGAGUGACUGGGAGCAGAGAUCUCGAAUGGCUUUGCCACAACAGAGGGAGCUGGCUGCUGCAGGUGAAAAGCACAAGGAAUUUCAGAAAAAAAUAUCACUGCCACACACUGCAGACCUUCAUCACACUACACCCACCGGGAUUCAGACCAGGUGAAAGCAGGAUCCCUUUCUCUGAUGAAAACACAGUGUGACUUCUCAGGCAGAGAGGCUGGAACUAGACGAUCCCUAAGCUCAAAUCCCACCCAAACCAUUCUACGAUUCCUUUCUAUGAUCCUAUGAUUUCUCCAUCCGCAGCUCUCCCAGCCACCCAUCCCACAACAAGCAGCAGCUGUAAGCUCUCCGCACCACUUGGCACGUUCAUAGGAGAGCCUCCAAUGAUGUGCAGCCUUAAUGCUGACCUCCUGCCCAGGGCUAAGCCCUGUGCUAGAUGCACAACGUGCUCCUGCAUGAGCAGGCGGGGAGGUAUGCAGGCAGCAAUAACACAGCCUUGACAGCUGACCAGAGGCAAUUCCUUCUGGGUGCCUUGCAAUCACUCACCCUAAUUCACUCUGUGAUCUCUAAAAAAGCAAUUUUUAUGAAACAAAGGUGAAGGAUUGCACUGAGCAGCUUUCAGGCCUGCCUAACAACUGGGAACUGGGACAAAGUUUGAACCGUUCCAAAACAGCGUCGUAUUUUUACUGACUGAACUUUCAGCCCGGACAGCCAGAGAUUGAGACUCCUCCUUCAGCAGACAGGCUGAGAAACGUGGCACUGGAAGUCACCCCAUGGACUGAUGUCACCGUGCAGGCAGCGGACAAAACCCAUCUUUCAGGCGACGAGGUGCUGUUGUAUACACGCAGGCAUCUACUAAAGGGGGCUGUUUUGUACUAAAAAAAUAGAGGCAUUUGGCUCUCUGACUUAUUGCAGUGUCAAGCAGGCUGGCAUAGCGCUGGGAAAUCACUCUAGGAAUACCCUGUGGGUGGAUGGAAGGCAGUCAGUCCAUGUGAGGUUCCAGAUUCUUGCAAGCUGACCUAGAAGCAGACCAGCGACAGACCACGUUUCACUCCAGCACGGCUUAGCAGUAUGUGCCUAAUUGCUUUGCUAGACCGAGGCUAUACCUCCUGGGAUGUUUUUUUUUUUCUCCGUUUCAAUCUGUUUUGACAUCAUGUGCGUUUUUUUCUCACGCUAUCAAGAUGCGAAGGCAAAGUGCAAGCGCACGUACGUGCGUGCAAUACUCAACCCGCACAGAAACGGGACCGACACUCGCGUGAGACGGAGCUGAGAAUGCCACAAUAUUCGCUGUGAGUUGUCUGCCCCGUUCACCCGAGGUCUGAGCGCCUUCCUGCAGAGUCACGGUUACACGCGGCCCUUAUCAAGAGCGUGCUGCUUAUUUCCUCCUGUGCACAGAGCACGGCGUGCUCCGCUUGCUUCAAUCACAGCCUCCGUUAUCUGCGUGCUUCUGCAAACAUGUCCCCGAGCCGUUAAUCAUUACCAUGGGAAAUACUCCGCUCAUCUAUCCAAAUUAGAACCUAAUUUGUGUAUCUAAACAUCAGGGCUCCGCUCACCUGCAGACGGGUGCUGUGAGCUCUGAUGCCUUAGUAUGCCGCACGGAACACGAGGAAUGACACAUCACGCUUUCUGCAGCCUUAAAUAGGAGCAGUACGCCGUUUGAGCUGAAUCUCCACCAAGUGUGGAAGGCGGGCUGGGACCCAUCCAGAUGAACGAUGCUGCAUAAAAGCACAUUCCUCAACGUGCUUGACCAGCAGAGCAAGGUGGUUCCGGGUGGUAAAUGCAGAACGGAGAUCGACAUGUGCUCAAGAGGCUGUGCCUGGGAGGAUGCAGUGUCAUGCCAUGUCUUGGGCUGAAUGCUUCACACAUCUCGCUUACCCCCGUUCUUGCAGUCAUAGAAUGGCUCUAUCAAUAGACUUGGUGCUGCUGUUACUGAUCUACACUUUCCAGUGGCGCUUCCAGGAGGGACUGAGACCCAGCUGGGGAAGGUGGAACAAAGCACAGAUCAUAAGGCAGCCAUGGAGCUCACAACAUGGGCAACACGCUCCAGGAAACCAAACCUCCGAGUGGGAAGCGAAGGGUAACCCAGAAAGGACAAAGAAGGAGCCCUUGCAUUACACUGCAGAGCCCUUGGAUCCACAAAAUGGUGUAGGAGGCCAAGUCUUAAUGCACCAUCUGCUACUGGAAAAUGAAACGGCCUUUCCUGUGCUGUCAUCUGAUGGCUUGACGGGAGCAGAAAAUCUGUAAAAUGAAAAGUGGUGUUCAAACAUUCAGCUGAGGAAGAGGAAAAAACCAGAAAGGACACAAACAGCUCGCUAUCAGGAGCGCAGGAAGCUAAUUUAUAGGGGAGAGGUAAUUGUUUUGUUGGAAAUCGCUAGAGGAAAUACAGCCCUCUGAAGGGUAAA
This is an RNA transcript of Numida meleagris (helmeted guineafowl), 3754 nucleotides long. It is a transcript of the gene named salvador family WW domain containing protein 1, with no coding region annotated. The transcript has 6 exons. Lineage: Eukaryota; Metazoa; Chordata; Aves; Galliformes; Numididae. The record is from RefSeq and is a predicted model, not a curated record.